CUCUUUCAUUCCCGCACCCCCCAUCUAGGGUUGGGGACAGCACGCCGCGCCGCCGUCCAGAGCUCCCCCGCGGCGCCUCCCUGUGCCGCUGUCCGGGCCACCCCGCGCCUCCGUCCGGCACAUGCCCGAGCCACCGGCCCUCCCCUCGCCUCUCCGCGCCGCCGUUGGGGGCUCCCUGCGCCGCCUUCCGGGCCACCCCGCACCUCCGUUCGGGUCUCCUGCGCCGCUGUUCGGGGCACCCCGCGCAGCGUCAGGCGGAGCCACCGGCGGAGCCACGGUCUUCCCUCCAGCGUCCAUCCCCUUCGGCUGCCUUCUCUCCGGUUACUGGAUGAAGAGAUAGAGGCAGGCCUUUUCGUGGCAGAGGAUGGAUUGGCAGGGGGAAGCUCACGGAGAUGCUGAUGUAGGUGCUGCAUGUGGCGUCGGCCGUGGCGGCGUUCCUGGCGGGCUACGUGCGCGGGGACUUCCAGCUCAUGCUGCUCGUCUAUGCCGCCGGCGUCGUGCUCACGAUGCUCGUCACCAUCCCCAACUGGCCCUUCUUCAACCGCAACCUGCUCAAGUGGCUUGACGCCGCCGAUGCCGAGCGCCACCCGCGCCUGCAGGUCGGCGCCACCGGCGCGGGAGCAGGGGGUAAGAAGAAGUCCGGGAAGAACAAGUAAUUGGUCUUUCAAAGAUGAGCAACAAGAUGGGGAUAUGUGGUGCAGUAGACAAUUGUAGAGUUCUUGAACAAAGUGAUGGUCGAGGUGGUGAAGCCAGUGCCGUGCUAUGGCUUCGAUCGUGGCCCAAAGCUGAUUGUAUUAUUUAAAUGAGACUUCAGUUCACAAUGUUUCGUUAUUGAUGUCAUCACUAUUUUGAAAGGGAUGUUAGAUUGAAUAAUGGAUUGAUUUAUUAAUAAUAUAUAUAUAUGUGUGUUGCAGCAAUUUAUA
Long non-coding RNA from Panicum virgatum (switchgrass), 923 nucleotides. RefSeq lists it as uncharacterized. The record is from RefSeq and is a predicted model, not a curated record. The transcript is spliced from 3 exons. NCBI's taxonomy places the organism in Eukaryota, Viridiplantae, Streptophyta, Magnoliopsida, Poales, Poaceae.